Molecule: ribosomal RNA, 230 nt
Filed under: uncultured bacterium
Lineage: Bacteria
Description: partial 16S ribosomal RNA
Rfam family: Archaeal small subunit ribosomal RNA
Source: RNAcentral
UCCGUAGCCGGUUUGAUCAGUCUUUUGGGAAAUCUGACUGCUUAACUGUUAGGCUUCCAAAGGAUACUGUCAGACUUGGGACCGGGAGAGGUAAGAGGUACUACAGGGGUAGGAGUGAAAUCUUGUAAUCCCUGUGGGACCACCAGUGGCGAAGGCGUCUUACCAGAACGGGUCCGACGGUGAGGGACGAAAGCUGGGGGCACGAACAGGAUUAGAUACCCUGGUAGUCC